This is a long non-coding RNA of Monomorium pharaonis (pharaoh ant), 3011 nucleotides long. RefSeq lists it as uncharacterized. The transcript is spliced from 2 exons. Lineage: Eukaryota; Metazoa; Arthropoda; Insecta; Hymenoptera; Formicidae. The record is from RefSeq and is a predicted model, not a curated record.
AUUAUAUCUUUAAAAUUUAUAACGUUCAAGAGAAGAGAGAGAGACAGAUACUAUACUUCAUAUUGCACUAUUAAAAUUUUUGCCGAUAUAUUUCCUUGUAUUCUAGUAAUAUUAUAUUGCGGUCGUAUUUUAAUGGAAUUCAGUGAUGAAUCUUCCUCCUUAUUAUUCUCUGUCGCAAAGUGCACAGGCAUUGCGCAAUAUCUCCUAACAUAUGUGACAGCGAGAAUCGUUUUGCAUAUGCGAAACAAUUUGUAACAGCAUUUCGCGGCGUUAAUUCCUUUCGUUAAUACAUGCUAUAUUGAGCUUUACAUCUCAUGGAAACCUUCAAAGAUAUUCGCACGUCACCUCGUUGAGCGUGUGAGGUUUACAAUGAGUGCAGAUAGCAAACGCGUAGCAAUUCGUGUUCGAUUGAAAACGUGCGCUUCGUAUUUCUGUUCGAAACUCGUCGUUUCAUCAAAGUCGAUCCGGACAGAAACUGGUAUAAUUUCGAUGAAUUCCAUUUUCCCCGUUAUACAUAGACACGUUGAAACAGUGCCUUAGAUCGCGUUUCCAUAGUAAUCUCUAAAGGGCGAUACGGGCUAAAGUGGAUAGGGGGUUACAGUGACCAGUGCCGAGCUGUCCGUUACUAAAUAAGGGUCUUGUUUAAGUAACGUUACGAAACAAGAUGGAAAAAAGUAAUUAACUAUUUUGACAUUUAUGUGACGUUUUUAUCAUAGAUGUUUUAUCCUUUCUAUUGAAUCUAAUAUAAUUUUAAUAUAUUUCAUUGUUAUUCAAUAUCGACGACCGUGCAAAUUUGAACGCUAGAAUUUUAUAUUGUCUUUGAGAUAUGACUCUUUCAUUUUAUCAAGUUUUAUGACAAAAUAUUCCCUUUCAGUUAGAAAGUACAUCCGAGACUGGUUUUUUUCUCUAUAUUUAUACCGAAAUAACUCUAAAAAAGAUAAAACUUUUUUAACACGAGAAGGGUGUCCACACCCUUAUCUCCUAUAGAGGUGAUUAUUUUAUGUUCUCAGUAUCUAGGUAAAAAUAAACUUAUUGAUUUUGAAGGUUUUGAAUGUCAUGAUUCCGUUUUUCUUCUUUUGGCUACUUUUUCGCUUCUUGUUACUUCAUUUUCGUUUCUCCUUGAGGUUUCUGGCAUCAUGCAUAUUGUAUACCUAACACUGGAAAGCUAUUACGUCGAGUUGAGCGCGGAGAGCAUGUUUUACAUUAGGGCGACCGAGGGCAGGCCUUUUUUUAAUGGUAUCGCAUUAAAAACUUUCAAUGAAUUUAUGUGAUUCUGAUAUUUUAUUUUUCAUUGCGUAUUUUUUUUUGAAAAAACUUUAGAAUUAAAGCUUUCAAAUUAGAAUUAAAGCUUUGUAUUGUUUUACGUCUCAUACUGUAACAACGUUGUUUUGCUCACAAGAGUAUUUAGUGUCACCUGUGAGAAAGCCGGUUUAAAACUGAAAUAUAACUUUGCCGCAAAUGGGACAUUUAACGGGGUAGCUUGCGCAAUAAUAAUUAUUUAAAUGGCUUUAAAUGCCCAAGGGAAAUCAUUAUUUUACAGUGCGUGAAUUCUGUUUGUAUCAAUAUUAGUGAUACGCGUCGGUUCCUGCGUGCAUUAUUGUUAUAUAUCUGAAAUAAAUCAUUACCUAUUCUUGCAGUAAAUUGAAUGCCAGUUAUUAAUCCACACUAUAACAAAUUGGCACGAAUUAAUAAACAUAUAUCUAUAAUUGUACAUAUGUAAUAAUUGUGGGGUGUCCUCUAUACAUGUAACUCUAGAUUAGAAUGGAAAUGAAGAUGCAAUAAUACAUUUUGUGAUAUAUAAUCUCAGAAAAAUGUAAGAGUGAAAAGCUCAAAAUGCAAUUUUCUUAUAGAAGUUAUUAUAUAUUUUUUAAGAUGAUACAAUUGAGUGAUAUUGCAUAACGCAUAAAAAAAUUGCAUACAGCGCAAUAAAACUAUUAAACUAUCGUAUUACAUAAGAGAUUUAUAAUCCUUUUAUAGGAUAGUACCUUUUUUAGAGUAUUCUGUUAUAAACAAAACUUGAAAUUGUAUCUAACUAUUUUCAGGUAAAUGUUUCUUGUUUCUAUUAGACAAUUGUAGUUUUCGUUCUUAUAUUAUUGCAGAAAAUAUUUUAUAAAUUAUUAUACAUGUUAUUACAAGUACGGGGUCAAGUUACAAAUGUUUCGAAGUAUUUCUUGAUUGAUCAAUUUGAUCAAUUCUUCGUUCUCGUUUCUCGUUUCUGCUUCGCCAAUCAAAUUUGAAGCGAAAUUGUAGCGCAAAUUGACCGUACCCUUAAUUUUAUAAUAUUUUAUUCUAAUUUAGUAUUCUGUAGAUUUGUAGGCGAUAUUUUGAUCUGAUGUAUAUAAUUUUGUAAAAAACAUAUUUCCUAUACUAGAUAUUGUACGUACAAACAGCAUUCUUGAUAUGAAAAGAUCGGACAAAGUUCAUGCAUAAAUGUUUAACCAUUUUAGUUCAUGUAUAUUUGAUGACUUUUUGUUGGCCGAUGCGACAUUUGAAAUUUGUUGACGGGAUUUUGACGACAUCUCAAUCAUGAUAAGAAAUUGUCGCAGGGUUAACAGUUAUAUUUAUCACGAGGAGCAACUUGGAUGUGAAAUGUAAAUUGUUGCUCGUACAAUCGUUUCCGAUCAGACCUUUCUUAUUUUUCUGACGUGACACGAAUGAGAUUCUUUUUGGUCGUCCUUGAGAAAAAAAACGAGGAUUUGAAACUUAUUUUCUUCUGUAUCAAAUUUUCCGUUGUAAGUGAUAGAUUUGGGAUGUGUUAUAUAUUAUAUAUAAAAAAACGAACGUAUUAAUUUUGGAAAAUUAGACGCAAAAUAUGAUGAAACAUAUAAUAUGAUAUAAGUAAAUAUUUAAUUUUGUGUUGUUCUAAGAAAAAAUGUCUAAAUGUCAUUAUAAUCUUUAUUUAAAUAUCUAUUGUAAAAAGUUUACGAACCUUAUUUGAACAAAUCAUAACAAUAUAGGUAAUAUUUAUAUAAUUACGAAUAUGCGCAAAAAAUAAAAACAAGAAAAAAAAA